GGGCACAUGGUGUAGUUGGUUAUCACGCCCGCUUAGCAUUUCAUUGUGCAUUGCGGGCGGUCCCCGGUUCAAUUCCGGGUGUGUCCA
RNAcentral lists this transfer RNA (87 nucleotides) under Collybia nuda. RNAcentral's name for it is "Lepista nuda tRNA". It matches the Rfam family "tRNA". Rfam says of the family: Transfer RNA (tRNA) molecules are approximately 80 nucleotides in length. Their secondary structure includes four short double-helical elements and three loops (D, anti-codon, and T loops). The record is from Rfam by way of RNAcentral. Lineage: Eukaryota; Fungi; Basidiomycota; Agaricomycetes; Agaricales; Clitocybaceae.